Molecule: ribosomal RNA, 1347 nt
Filed under: Cymbiola pulchra
Lineage: Eukaryota; Metazoa; Mollusca; Gastropoda; Neogastropoda; Volutidae
Description: 16S ribosomal RNA
Rfam family: Bacterial large subunit ribosomal RNA (bases 875-1266)
Source: RNAcentral
AUUAUAUUAGUUCAUAUAUUAUUAAAACAUUUUAAAAUUUAGUAAGAGUGACUGAGAUUUAAUACUAUAUAAUUUAAUAAGUACUGUAGAGGAAGAUUUCUAAUUAUAUAAUAGUAAAAAUUUUAAUUUGUACCUUUUGCAUCAUGGCUUAGCUAGAUUUAAACUUUAAAUAUAAGUUUCUCGAAAUCUAAUGAGCUAUCUUUUAUCUGUUGUUUUAGCAAAAUAAAGGGUAGUUGUGGAAUAAACUUUUUUAAAGAUAAAGAUAGAGAUGAAAUUUUAUUCGCAUUAGAUGAUAGCUAGUUUUCCUGAAAGGCAUAGAAGUACUUUAGAUUAAGUUUUAUAACAAUUUAUUUAAUUGAAAUUAGUUAAUUUUUUAAUCUACAAAAGUUAUUAAGGAUAAGCUUGCUAACUUGGUUUUAAUAUUUGGCAUUUUAUUUUAUAUUAAAUUUAGGCUUGAAAAUAGCCAUAAUAAAAGAUUAUGUUAUAAUUUCAUUUUACAUAAGAAAUAUAAUGAAUCUGCUUUUGACUUAAUGGAGUGAACUUAUUAAUAACUAUAUAAGUUGUAUUAAUGCUAAGAUGAGUAUUGAAAAUUUAUGUUUUUUAAUUAAGAAGUAUUUUAAUUCUUUAUAUAAUAUUUAUAAAACUUAAAUCAUGAAAAGGAACUCGGCAAAAAGUAUUCUGCCUGUUUAUCAAAAACAUGGCUCCUUGAUAAAAAAAAAUAGGGAGUCGGACCUGCCCAGUGAUAUGGAUUUAAACGGCCGCGGUACUCUGACCGUGCAAAGGUAGCAUAAUCAUUUGCCUUAUAAUUGAAGGCUGGAAUGAAUGGUUUGACAAGAAUACAACUGUCUCUUCAUGAUUUUAUGGAAUUUAAUUUUUAGGUGAAGAAGCCUAAAUAUAAUUGAAAGACGAGAAGACCCUGUCGAGCUUAAAAGAAAUUAGUAAAUUAAAAAAAUAUUAAUUAAAAUACUAAUUACUAAAAAUUUUGGUUGGGGCGACAAAGGAACCAAAGAAACUUCCUUUACAGUGAUUAUUUAUUUUCAGAUAUUGAUCCAAAACCAUUUUGAUUAAAGGAAUUAGUUACCGCAGGGAUAACAGCAUAAUCUUUUUUGAGAGUUCUUAUCGAAAAAAGGGUUUGUGACCUCGAUGUUGGACCAGAAUAUCCUAAAGAUGCAGCAGUCUUUAAGGGUUGGUCUGUUCGACCAUUAAAAUUCUACGUGAUCUGAGUUCAGACCGGCGUGAGCCAGGUCAGUUUCUAUCUUCAAUUUAUUACUUAAGCUUAGUACGAAAGGACCAGUUUUAUAACAAAGUAAUGUAACAAUAGAAAAAAUAUAAUUGACAAUUUAAGUA